RNAcentral lists this ribosomal RNA (253 nucleotides) under uncultured bacterium. Its description in RNAcentral is "partial 16S ribosomal RNA". It matches the Rfam family "Bacterial small subunit ribosomal RNA", at positions 524 to 776 of the family's 1533-position model. The record is from RNAcentral.
UACGGAGGGGGCUAGCGUUGUUCGGAAUUACUGGGCGUAAAGGGUGCGUAGGCGGCUAUCCAAGUCAGACGUGAAAGGCCUGGGCUCAACCCGGGAACUGCGUUUGAGACUGGGUGGCUGGAGUCCGGGAGAGGUGAGCGGAAUUCUCAGUGUAGCGGUGAAAUGCGCAGAUAUCGGGAAGAACACCUAUGGCGAAGGCAGCUCUCUGGGACGGUACUGACGCUGAGACGCGAAAGCGUGGGGAGCGAACAGG